Molecule: ribosomal RNA, 473 nt
Filed under: uncultured bacterium
Lineage: Bacteria
Description: bacterial SSU rRNA
Rfam family: Bacterial small subunit ribosomal RNA
Source: RNAcentral
AACAAACGCUGGCGGCGUGCCUAAUACAUGCAAGUCGAACGGGGAAAGUAGCAAUACGAGUACUAGUGGCGCACGGGUGAGGAAUACAUGGGUAAUCUGCCCUCGAGCUCGGGAUAACCAGUCGAAAGACUGGCUAAUACCGGAUAUGACCACAAGAUCUGAGGAUCAAGGGGUAAAAGGUUUUCGCUUGAGGAUGAGCCCAUGUGGGAUUAGCUAGUUGGUGUAGGUAACGGCUCACCAAGGCGACGAUCCCUAACUGGUCUUAGAGGAUGAUCAGUCACACUGGAACUGAGACACGGUCCAGACUCCUACGGGAGGCAGCAGUAGGGAAUAUUGCACAAUGGAGGAAACUCUGAUGCAGCGACGCCGCGUGAGUGAUGAAGGCCUUCGGGUCGUAAAGCUCUGUCGUAUGGGACUAACAAAAUGAAGGUACCGAUGCAAGAAAGGAAUCGGCUAACUUCGUGCCAGCAGCC